CUAGCCAGCUCCAUACAAUAUGCUAAGCCCCGCCUCCUGAGGCACCUAAGGACAUCCAAGUCACUGCAUUUACAUAUAGAUUUCCUCAUUUUCUUCAAUCUAUCAUUAUUAUAAUCACUUAGUUAGCAAGAAAAUGAAUGAUUUCGAGAUAUGUGUGCAGCUGUAUUAUUAUCAGUUAAAUCUGCUACCUGUAUCUGAGUUGAUGUUUCACCAGUUUGGGCUAUGGGACGUUUUCCAAUGACAGCUUCUAAAACUGUUGAAUACUGGAUGGAGAGAUUAUUACGAGACCCUGUUUGACAAGAUAUAAUCUGAAAAUAGUUUGGGGACCUGGUGCUCGGAAAUUUGGCAGUGAGAACAGAAGACCAGAGGACCUACUUGACAAGUCAGGCCAACUUGAUAGCCUAUGGUCACUACCCCAAGGUCAAAUCAAGGUCAACGUAAAGGACACAUACUGGUCAAGAGUACAGGCCCCAGGUCAAGGGAUCAUACUUAUUGGACACUAACAUUGUAAUACAGCCUGGUGACCUGUCAUGACCCUGGUUCACACCUGAUGACCUGCUGAUCCAUGACCUACUGAACUUUGAACUCAUUUUUGCAGAUGGAACAAGAUGGAGUCAAGCAUAAUCAAAGACAGCAAUCAGAAAGACUGGCUGUAUUCUUUGCACCAUGGGAGCUAUUUGUCCAAUCAUAGAAAGACAAAAAAGACACAAAAUCUAUAGAUUGUUCGUUCAGCUUGUGAAAAUGUUCGAAAUAAAGACAAAUCUGAAAUAGAAGAAC
Mizuhopecten yessoensis (Yesso scallop) is the source of this 777-nucleotide long non-coding RNA. RefSeq lists it as uncharacterized. The transcript is spliced from 4 exons. The record is from RefSeq and is a predicted model, not a curated record. Lineage: Eukaryota; Metazoa; Mollusca; Bivalvia; Pectinida; Pectinidae.